UAUUAUUUUUUAUGUAAAUUUGUUAACUGGGGUAGUAUUAGAUAAGUCUUGAAACUUAAAGAAUUUGGCGGUGUUUUAUUUCUUUUUAGAGGAAUCUGUUUCGUAAUCGAUAGUCCGCGAUGUAUCUUACUUUUUAUAUUAGUUUGUAUACCGCCGUUGUGAAUAUUUUUUUAGAAUUUAUAAAUUUUCUUUAUUUUUUAUUAGAAUUUAUUUCAGGUCAAGGUGCAGCUUAUGAAUGGAGUGUUAAUGGAUUACAAUAUUUUUUUAGUAUAUGGAUAUUAUUAGUAUUAAUUUUUUGAAGGUGGAUUUGAUAGUAAUUUUAUGUAGAUUAUUAAGGUGAAUAGAGCUCUGGAACAUGUACAUAUCGCCCGUCGCUCUCGUUAAUUGAUUAUAAGAUGAG
This 400-nucleotide ribosomal RNA is filed under the name Balta valida. Its description in RNAcentral is "partial 12S ribosomal RNA". The record is from RNAcentral. Lineage: Eukaryota; Metazoa; Arthropoda; Insecta; Blattodea; Pseudophyllodromiidae.